GACGAACGCUGGCGGCGUGCCUAAUACAUGCAAGUAGAACGCUGAGGGAGGAGCUUGCUUCUCUGGAUGAGUUGCGAACGGGUGAGUAACGCGUAGGUAACCUGCCUUGUAGCGGGGGAUAACUAUUGGAAACGAUAGCUAAUACCGCAUAAGAGUAGAUGUUGCAUGAUAUUUGCUUAAAAGGUGCAAUUGCUUCACUACCACACGGACCUGCGCUGCAUUAGCUAGUUGGUGGGGUAUCGGCUUACUAAGGCGACGAUACAUAGUCGAACGGAGAGGGGGGUUGGCCGCACUGAGAGUGUGACACGGCCCAGAGGCCUUCGGGAGGCAGCAGUAGGGAUACGGCGGGAAGAGGCGGGAGUCUGAGCGAGCAGCGCCGAGGGAGUAAAGAGGAAUGUCGGGUCGUAGAGCUCUGUUGUAGGGGAGGAACGAGUGUGAGAGUGGAAAGUUCACUGUGUGACGGUAUCUUGCCAGAAAGGGACGGCUAACUACGUG
Molecule: ribosomal RNA, 495 nt
Filed under: uncultured bacterium
Lineage: Bacteria
Description: partial 16S ribosomal RNA
Rfam family: Bacterial small subunit ribosomal RNA
Source: RNAcentral